RNAcentral lists this ribosomal RNA (238 nucleotides) under uncultured bacterium. Its description in RNAcentral is "partial 16S ribosomal RNA". It matches the Rfam family "Bacterial small subunit ribosomal RNA", at positions 15 to 235 of the family's 1533-position model. The record is from RNAcentral.
GAUCAUGGCUCAGGAUGAACGCUGGCGGCGUGCUUAACACAUGCAAGUCGAACGAAGCACUUAUCUUUGAUUCUUCGGAUGAAGAGGUUUGUGACUGAGUGGCGGACGGGUGAGUAACGCGUGGGUAACCUGCCUCAUACAGGGGGAUAACAGUUAGAAAUGACUGCUAAUACCGCAUAAGACCACAGGGCCGCAUGACCUGGUGGGAAAAACUCCGGUGGUAUGAGAUGGACCCGCG